Molecule: ribosomal RNA, 269 nt
Filed under: uncultured prokaryote
Description: partial 16S ribosomal RNA
Rfam family: Bacterial small subunit ribosomal RNA
Source: RNAcentral
GACGUAGGAGGCGAGCGUUAUCCGGAUUUAUUGGGCGUAAAGGGCGUGUAGGCGGCCCUUUAAGUCUUUGGUAAAAUCUCCCGACUUAAUUGGGAGGGUGCCAGAGAAACUGGAGAGCUUGAGGACAGCAGAGGGGGGUGGAAUUCCCGGUGUAGUGGUGAUAUGCGUAGAUAUCGGGAGGAACACCAGUGGCGAAGGCGGCCCCCUGGGCUGUUCCUGACGCUGAGGCGCGAAAGCGUGGGGAGCAAACAGGAUUAGAUACCCCCGUA